This 584-nucleotide ribosomal RNA is filed under the name Lodderomyces parapsilosis. RNAcentral's name for it is "Candida parapsilosis partial large subunit ribosomal RNA". It matches the Rfam family "Eukaryotic large subunit ribosomal RNA", at positions 68 to 664 of the family's 3401-position model. The record is from RNAcentral. Lineage: Eukaryota; Fungi; Ascomycota; Pichiomycetes; Serinales; Debaryomycetaceae.
ACAGGGAUUGCCUUAGUAGCGGCGAGUGAAGCGGCAAAAGCUCAAAUUUGAAAUCUGGCACUUUCAGUGUCCGAGUUGUAAUUUGAAGAAGGUAUCUUUGGGUCUGGCUCUUGUCUAUGUUUCUUGGAACAGAACGUCACAGAGGGUGAGAAUCCCGUGCGAUGAGAUGUCCCAGACCUAUGUAAAGUUCCUUCGAAGAGUCGAGUUGUUUGGGAAUGCAGCUCUAAGUGGGUGGUAAAUUCCAUCUAAAGCUAAAUAUUGGCGAGAGACCGAUAGCGAACAAGUACAGUGAUGGAAAGAUGAAAAGAACUUUGAAAAGAGAGUGAAAAAGUACGUGAAAUUGUUGAAAGGGAAGGGCUUGAGAUCAGACUUGGUAUUUUGUAUGUUACUCUCUCGGGGGUGGCCUCUACAGUUUACCGGGCCAGCAUCAGUUUGAGCGGUAGGAUAAGUGCAAAGAAAUGUGGCACUGCUUCGGUAGUGUGUUAUAGUCUUUGUCGAUACUGCCAGCUUAGACUGAGGACUGCGGCUUCGGCCUAGGAUGUUGGCAUAAUGAUCUUAAGUCGCCCGUCUUGAAACCACGGCCA